This 332-nucleotide ribosomal RNA is filed under the name uncultured eukaryote. RNAcentral's name for it is "partial 18S ribosomal RNA". It matches the Rfam family "Eukaryotic small subunit ribosomal RNA", at positions 1470 to 1796 of the family's 1831-position model. The record is from RNAcentral.
CCCUUAGAUGUUCUGGGCCGCACGCGCGCUACACUGAUGCAUUCAACGAGUUUUGUUUGUUCCUUGGCCGAGAGGCCUGGGCAAUCUUUUGAACUUGCAUCGUGAUAGGGAUAGAUUAUUGCAAUUAUUAAUCUUGAACGAGGAAUUCCUAGUAAACGCAGAUCAUCAAUCUGCAUUGAUUACGUCCCUGCCCUUUGCACACACCGCCCGUCGCUCCUACCGAUUGAGUGGUCCGGUGAGGCUUUGGGAUCUGAGCGGAAAGAGCGUUUCGCUGUUUCUGCUCGGAAAACUCAGUCGAACCUUAUCAUUUAGAGGAAGGAGAAGUCGUAACA